CCGGCAGCGGGUGGUCCCCAGCCUCCGGGUUCGCCCCCCGGGAGUCUUGCGAGGCGCCGCUGACCGGCCGCUGUCUGCCGAGCCACUCCCCCGCCUCGGGCUCCGGGUGCGGCUGGCGGCGGCAGCCGCUCCGCAGCUGGGCGUCCUGCCUGCUGCGUUUGGAGUGGUCUCGGGAUGCUGCCUUAAUUCUGCUGCGCGUUUUUCUUCGGAUAGCGAGCCGGUUUCAACAACGUGAGGGCCUCCAUUCUCUUCCCUUGGCAGCUCUUCAGAACCAGAGAUCCUGUCCGAAGAAGAUGACAUAAAAUCCCAGCAAACUACAUUAUCCAGAGCACAAGAAGAUUCAGGGAAACAUGAUGAGGCUGACUGAAGAUUGAUAUUUUUCAACAAAAAAUGAAACCUGAGCAAUACACAGAAGUGCAAUACUGCAGACAGAAGGCCCCAGAGAGACCCUAACAGGCUUGAGAAGUAGACUUGUGUGAAACUCAUGAAGUUCAACAAGGCCAAGUGCAAGGGUCCUGCACCUGGGUUUGGGCAACACCCAGUAUCAGUACCGACUGGACAAUGAAUGGAUUGAGAGCAGCCCUGAAGAGAAGGACUUGGGGAUACUGGUUGUGAGAGACUGAAAGAGUUAACGUCUCAAACAUUGUGGUGGGGCAAGUUAUGCCUAACAAUGAACGCUGCAUAGCAAGGAACCCCAGGUGAAAA
Long non-coding RNA from Harpia harpyja (harpy eagle), 705 nucleotides. RefSeq lists it as uncharacterized. Lineage: Eukaryota; Metazoa; Chordata; Aves; Accipitriformes; Accipitridae. The transcript has 3 exons. The record is from RefSeq and is a predicted model, not a curated record.